CCUACGGGAGGCAGCAGUGGGGAAUAUUGGGCAAUGGGCGCAAGCCUGACCCAGCAACGCCGCGUGAAGGAAGAAGGCUUUCGGGUUGUAAACUUCUUUUGACAGGGAAGAGCAGAAGACGGUACCUGUCGAAUAAGCCACGGCUAACUACGUGCCAGCAGCCGCGGUAAUACGUAGGUGGCAAGCGUUGUCCGGAUUUACUGGGUGUAAAGGGCGUGUAGCCGGGCUGACAAGUCAGAUGUGAAAUCCGGGGGCUCAACCCCUGAACUGCAUUUGAAACUGUUGGUCUUGAGUAUCGGAGAGGCAGGCGGAAUUCCUAGUGUAGCGGUGAAAUGCGUAGAUAUUAGGAGGAACACCAGUGGCGAAGGCGGCCUGCUGGACGACAACUGACGGUGAGGCGCGAAAGCGUGGGGAGCAAACAGGAUUAGAUACCCUAGUAG
RNAcentral lists this ribosomal RNA (440 nucleotides) under uncultured bacterium. Its description in RNAcentral is "bacterial SSU rRNA". It matches the Rfam family "Bacterial small subunit ribosomal RNA", at positions 338 to 793 of the family's 1533-position model. The record is from RNAcentral.